CAGCCGCCGCGGUAAUACGUAGGUGGCAAGCGUUGUCCGGAGUUAUUGGGCGUAAAGGGCUCGCAGGCGGUUUCUUAAGUCUGAUGUGAAAGCCCCCGGCUCAACCGGGGAGGGUCAUUGGAAACUGGGAAACUUGAGUGCAGAAGAGGAGAGUGGAAUUCCACGUGUAGCGGUGAAAUGCGUAGAGAUGUGGAGGAACACCAGUGGCGAAGGCGACUCUCUGGUCUGUAACUGACGCUGAGGAGCGAAAGCGUGGGGAGCGAACAGGAUUAGAUACCCCUGUAGUCCCUGUCUCUUAUAA
This 301-nucleotide ribosomal RNA is filed under the name uncultured bacterium. RNAcentral's name for it is "partial 16S ribosomal RNA". It matches the Rfam family "Bacterial small subunit ribosomal RNA", at positions 509 to 809 of the family's 1533-position model. The record is from RNAcentral.